Molecule: ribosomal RNA, 562 nt
Filed under: uncultured Colwellia sp.
Lineage: Bacteria; Pseudomonadati; Pseudomonadota; Gammaproteobacteria; Alteromonadales; Colwelliaceae
Description: bacterial SSU rRNA
Rfam family: Bacterial small subunit ribosomal RNA (bases 5-505)
Source: RNAcentral
CGGUGCGGCAGCUUACCAUGCAGUCGAGCGGUAACAGAGAGUAGCUUGCUACUUUGCUGACGAGCGGCGGACGGGUGAGUAAUGCUUGGGAAUAUGCCUUAUGGUGGGGGACAACAGUUGGAAACGACUGCUAAUACCGCAUAACGUCUACGGACCAAAGGGGGGGAUCUUCGGACCUCUCGCCAUUUGAUUAGCCCAAGUGAGAUUAGCUAGUUGGUAAGGUAAAGGCUUACCAAGGCGACGAUCUCUAGCUGGUUUGAGAGGAUGAUCAGCCACACUGGGACUGAGACACGGCCCAGACUCCUACGGGAGGCAGCAGUGGGGAAUAUUGCACAAUGGGCGAAAGCCUGAUGCAGCCAUGCCGCGUGUGUGAAGAAGGCCUUCGGGUUGUAAAGCACUUUCAGUUGUGAGGAAAGGGGUGUGGUUAAUAGCUGCAUCCUGUGACGUUACCCACAGAAGAAGCACCGGCUAACUUCGUGCCAGCAGCCGCGGUAACAAGGGCGAAUUCGCGGCCGCUAAAUUCAAUUCGCCCUAUAGUGAGUCGUAUUACAAUUCACUGGCG